CGGUUAAGUUAGAAAGGGCGCACGGUGGAUGCCUUGGCACUAGGAGCCGAUGAAGGACGGGACGAACACCGAUAUGCUUCGGGGAGCUGUAAGCAAGCUUUGAUCCGGAGAUUUCCGAAUGGGGAAACCCACCACUCGUAAUGGAGUGGUAUCCAUAUCUGAAUUCAUAGGAUAUGAGAAGGCAGACCCGGGGAACUGAAACAUCUAAGUACCCGGAGGAAGAGAAAGCAAAUGCGAUUCCCUGAGUAGCGGCGAGCGAAACGGGAUUAGCCCAAACCAAGAGGCUUGCCUCUUGGGGUUGUAGGACACUCUGUACGGAGUUACACUCGUAAUGGAGUGGUAUCCAUAUCUGAAUUCAUAGGAUAUGAGAAGGCAGACCCGGGGAACUGAAACAUCUAAGUACCCGGAGGAAGAGAAAGCAAAUGCGAUUCCCUGAGUAGCGGCGAGCGAAACGGGAUUAGCCCAAACCAAGAGGCUUGCCUCUUGGGGUUGUAGGACACUCUGUACGGAGUUACAAAAGAACGAGGUAGAUGAAGAGGUCUGGAAAGGCCCGCCAUAGGAGGUAACAGCCCUGUAGUCAAAACUUCGUUCUCUCCUGAGUGGAUCCUGAGUACGGCGGAACACGUGAAAUUCCGUCGGAAUCCGGGAGGACCAUCUCCCAAGGCUAAAUACUCCCUAGUGACCGAUAGUGAACCAGUACCGUGAGGGAAAGGUGAAAAGCACCCCGGAAGGGGAGUGAAAGAGAUCCUGAAACCGUGUGCCUACAAGUAGUCAGAGCCCGUUAACGGGUGAUGGCGUGCCUUUUGUAGAAUGAACCGGCGAGUUACGAUCCCGUGCAAGGUUAAGCAGAAGAUGCGGAGCCGCAGCGAAAGCGAGUCUGAAUAGGGCGCAUGAGUACGUGGUCGUAGACCCGAAACCAGGUGAUCUACCCAUGUCCAGGGUGAAGUUCAGGUAACACUGAAUGGAGGCCCGAACCCACGCACGUUGAAAAGUGCGGGGGAUGAGGUGUGGGUAGGGGUGAAAUGCCAAUCGAACCUGGAGAUAGCUGGUUCUCUCCGAAAUAGCUUUAGGGCUAGCCUCAAGGUAAGAGUCUUGGAGGUAGAGCACUGAUUGGACUAGGGGCCCCUACCGGGUUACCGAAUUCAGUCAAACUCCGAAUGCCAAUGACUUAUCCUUGGGAGUCAGACUGCGAGUGAUAAGAUCCGUAGUCGAAAGGGAAACAGCCCAGACCGCCAGCUAAGGUCCCAAAGUAUACGUUAAGUGGAAAAGGAUGUGGAGUUGCUUAGACAACCAGGAUGUUGGCUUAGAAGCAGCCACCAUUUAAAGAGUGCGUAAUAGCUCACUGGUCGAGUGACUCUGCGCCGAAAAUGUACCGGGGCUAAACGUAUCACCGAAGCUGCGGACUGUUCUUCGAACAGUGGUAGGAGAGCGUUCUAAGGGCUGUGAAGCCAGACCGGAAGGACUGGUGGAGCGCUUAGAAGUGAGAAUGCCGGUAUGAGUAGCGAAAGAGGGGUGAGAAUCCCCUCCACCGAAUGCCUAAGGUUUCCUGAGGAAGGCUCGUCCGCUCAGGGUUAGUCGGGACCUAAGCCGAGGCCGAAAGGCGUAGGCGAUGGACAACAGGUUGAUAUUCCUGUACCACCUCCUCACCAUUUGAGCAAUGGGGGGACGCAGGAGGAUAGGGUAAGCGCGGUAUUGGAUAUCCGCGUCCAAGCAGUUAGGCUGGGAAAUAGGCAAAUCCGUUUCCCAUAAGGCUGAGCUGUGAUGGCGAGCGAAAUAUAGUAGCGAAGUUCCUGAUUCCACACUGCCAAGAAAAGCCUCUAGCGAGGUGAGAGGUGCCCGUACCGCAAACCGACACAGGUAGGCGAGGAGAGAAUCCUAAGGUGAUCGAGAGAACUCUCGUUAAGGAACUCGGCAAAAUGACCCCGUAACUUCGGGAGAAGGGGUGCUCUGUUAGGGUGCAAGCCCGAGAGAGCCGCAGUGAAUAGGCCCAGGCGACUGUUUAGCAAAAACACAGGUCUCUGCGAAGCCGUAAGGCGAAGUAUAGGGGCUGACGCCUGCCCGGUGCUGGAAGGUUAAGAGGAGCGCUUAGCGUAAGCGAAGGUGCGAAUUGAAGCCCCAGUAAACGGCGGCCGUAACUAUAACGGUCCUAAGGUAGCGAAAUUCCUUGUCGGGUAAGUUCCGACCCGCACGAAAGGCGCAACGAUCUGGGCACUGUCUCAACGAGAGACUCGGUGAAAUUAUAGUACCUGUGAAGAUGCAGGUUACCCGCGACAGGACGGAAAGACCCCGUGGAGCUUUACUGCAGCCUGAUAUUGAAUGUUGGUACAGCUUGUACAGGAUAGGUAGGAGCCUUGGAAACCGGAGCGCCAGCUUCGGUGGAGGCAUCGGUGGGAUACUACCCUGGCUGUAUUGACCUUCUAACCCGCCGCCCUUAUCGGGCGGGGAGACAGUGUCAGGUGGGCAGUUUGACUGGGGCGGUCGCCUCCUAAAAGGUAACGGAGGCGCCCAAAGGUUCCCUCAGAAUGGUUGGAAAUCAUUCGCAGAGUGUAAAGGCACAAGGGAGCUUGACUGCGAGACCUACAAGUCGAGCAGGGACGAAAGUCGGGCUUAGUGAUCCGGUGGUUCCGCAUGGAAGGGCCAUCGCUCAACGGAUAAAAGCUACCCCGGGGAUAACAGGCUUAUCUCCCCCAAGAGUCCACAUCGACGGGGAGGUUUGGCACCUCGAUGUCGGCUCAUCGCAUCCUGGGGCUGUAGUCGGUCCCAAGGGUUGGGCUGUUCGCCCAUUAAAGCGGUACGCGAGCUGGGUUCAGAACGUCGUGAGACAGUUCGGUCCCUAUCCGUCGCGGGCGCAGGAAAUUUGAGAGGAGCUGUCCUUAGUACGAGAGGACCGGGAUGGACGCACCGCUGGUGUACCAGUUGUUCUGCCAAGGGCAUCGCUGGGUAGCUAUGUGCGGACGGGAUAAGUGCUGAAAGCAUCUAAGCAUGAAGCCCCCCUCAAGAUGAGAUUUCCCAUUCCGCAAGGAAGUAAGAUCCCUGAAAGAUGAUCAGGUUGAUAGGUCUGAGGUGGAAGUGUGGCGACACAUGGAGCUGACAGAUACUAAUCGGUCGAGGACUUAACCAUAUUU
This 3125-nucleotide ribosomal RNA is filed under the name Bacillus sp. CMAA 1185. RNAcentral describes it as "bacterial LSU rRNA". It matches the Rfam family "Bacterial large subunit ribosomal RNA". Lineage: Bacteria; Bacillati; Bacillota; Bacilli; Caryophanales; Bacillaceae. The record is from RNAcentral.